RNAcentral lists this unclassified non-coding RNA (158 nucleotides) under uncultured Venturiales. RNAcentral's name for it is "sequence contains ITS1". Lineage: Eukaryota; Fungi; Ascomycota; Dothideomycetes. The record is from RNAcentral.
CCGAGCGUGACCCCCCCGUAAAUUAAUAGGGGGGUGCCUCCCGUCCUUUGCAGGCCUUUAGGGGCUUUGACACUUUGCUUCGGCGGGGCUGCCCCGCCGGAACACCCUCAAGAAAAUCUCGAAAAAACCGUUCAGUCCGAGGGUUGCUAUAAUAAGCA